GAAUAUUGCACAAUGGGGGAAACCCUGAUGCAGCCAUGCCGCGUGUGUGAAGAAGGCCUUCGGGUUGUAAAGCACUUUCAGUGGUGAGGAAGGUUGGUAGUUUAAUACGCUACCAAAUUGACGUUAGCCACAGAAGAAGCACCGGCUAACUCCGUGCCAGCCGCCGCGGUAAUACGGAGGGUGCGAGCGUUAAUCGGAAUUACUGGGCGUAAAGCGUACGUAGGCGGCUUAUUAAGCAAGAUGUGAAAGCCCCGGGCUCAACCUGGGAAUUGCAUUUUGAACUGGUAGGCUCGAGUUUUGAAGAGGGUGGUAGAAUUUCCUGUGUAGCGGUGAAAUGCGUAGAUAUAGGAAGGAACACCAGUGGCGAAGGCGACCACCUGGACUGAUACUGACACUGAGGUGCGAAAGCGUGGGGAGCAAACAGG
RNAcentral lists this ribosomal RNA (425 nucleotides) under uncultured bacterium. Its description in RNAcentral is "bacterial SSU rRNA". It matches the Rfam family "Bacterial small subunit ribosomal RNA", at positions 359 to 776 of the family's 1533-position model. The record is from RNAcentral.